AAGAAGGACCUGAGACCACAUUCAGAUUCAGAAACAAAGAGAGAAAUGGGAACUAUCUGGAACUCCACCUGCCCAAUUCAAAAGAAUCCAUUUUUAUUCCCUUCUUUAACCAAGAAAUAUGCAAAUUCCUUUUGCAAUUUCACCAACAAGUCCGUCCAAAUUUCUUGCAAACUUCCUGGAAGUGAAGUUGAAGAAAAUUAUACUAGCAGAAGCGUCUCAAGUAAUAAGAUGGAGGAAUACAACUUAGCUAUGAAGCGAAUGACGAGGAAUCCUUAUGAAUAUCACCAUGAUCUUGGAAUGAACUACACAUUGAUAACAGAAAAUCUCAUUGUUGGCUCCCAGCCCCAGAAAGCUGAAGAUAUAGAUCAUUUGAAAAAAGAGGAGAAGGUCGCUUUUAUACUAAACUUGCAGCAGGACAAAGAUAUUGAGUUUUGGGGAAUAGACCUCCAGUCUAUAGUCAGAAGAUGUUCAGAGCUUGGAAUUCAUCACAUGAGAAGGCCUGCGAGAGAUUUUGAUCCAGAUUCCUUAAGGGGUGUAUUACCUAAAGCUGUUUCAUCACUAGAGUGGGCAAUUUCAGAAGGAAAAGGAAGAGUGUACGUACAUUGCACUGCUGGAUUGGGAAGGGCUCCUGCUGUUUCAAUUGCUUAUAUGUUCUGGUUUUGUGGAAUGGAUCUAAAUACCGCCUAUGAUACACUCACAUCAAAGAGACCCUGUGGGCCCAACAAAAGGUCGAUACGAGCAGCUACUUAUGAUUUGGCUAAAAAUGAUCAGUGGAAGGAGCCGUUUGAGAAUCUGCCAGAUUAUGCCUUUGCUGAUGUAGCAGAUUGGGAAAGGACACUGAUUCAAGAUCGUGUCCGGGGCCUUCGUGACACUUGAGUAUGCUGAGGCCUGGGCAUUUGAAUCCAUACCUCAACUGCGGCCAAAAGAUUAUCUAAAGAGAGGACAUUGCUGAGGAUGAAGAUGUGGUUGUUUGAGAAAGUAGAAAAAGACAAGCCCGAUUCAUUUCAAAUCAAAGAUGAUCUGGCUGAAAAGAUGGAGGCUUACAUCCAGAAUCUUGUUAUUUUACUAGACAAAUAGGACACGACGAUGGAUAGCCUAAGUAAAGUUGGAUGGGAUGAUAGUCUUAAGACAUUUGGGUGGUGCCCUUAAGAUAAAAGAAGGGUAGUUUGCAAACCCCACAAAUUGGAGAUAGCCAUAUGGUUGGAGGAGAUGAUGGUACAAGAGAAAAAUCUGUCAGUGUCCACUAUCCCUGCAUAUGCCCAAUUGUCUCGAAAAAAAGCAAAUGAACCGGAGGAAUGCUAUGCAAGAUCAGUUGAGAUAGCAAAUGGAAAUAAUGAAGUUUAUACAAAAGAUCAUGGAUGAAUUGGUUCACAAGCUAUUGAAGAGACCUGUGGUCUUCCCUGAGCAAUUUAGGAUCCUUACACUAAAGGAACAAAAAGAGAAAGGAUGCUUAAAAGGGCCAAGAACAAGAAACCUCCACAUCAGUCAGUAAGGAGAGGUUGAACGUUGACAUUUAUAAACCGAUUGACUGGGAGAGGAGAAAUGCCCUCAUGGCUUUUAUCAGAAAAUAAGGAGUCUCAGACAUAAUUUACACGUGGGAUGUUCGAUUAUGAAGACUUCAAGAACAUCCAAGAUUUCCAAUUCUGGUUGGAGUAUAAGCAUGGAUAUAUUCCAGAGAGCAAGAAGCUGCCACCACUUGAAGAGAAGCAGCCCCAUUAUAGCAUGCUGCAAAUUCGGAAUUUUUACUGCAGCUUUUCAUAAAACUAUCGGUAUAUGAGAAUUACGAGGUCUCAAAUGCAAUUUGACAUAUGAAUUAGGUGUUGCUGUAACAUAUUAGGUCAGUAGAUUCUUUAUAGUUGUAAACCCCUGUAAUAAAGUGAGCCCAUCAAUUGAAAGUUCAUUAUUGGGGAGCACCUUGUUUAUCCUUGUUCUGUAGACAAAUAGGUUGGGGUUUAUGUCCUCUUUUUGUACUUCUUCUUACAAUGAGGUGUUCUUAGAGCAAUAGGUUGAUAGGAAAGUGGGACUUUUUAAUUCACCUGAACAUUUCACAUAAUUCACUUGUAGCCUCCCUAGAAUAACUUCAUCACUAUAAUUUAGAGAAUCUUGAUCUUAUAUUUAACUUUAACUUUCUGUAGGGUCGUCUACCCUUUUCGAUAUGUAAGUGGAGCAGCCUUAUUCUUUCGGAUUUAUGACACCUAUUAGUGCUAGACUCGAGAAGGAAUAAUUUCAAUGGAAGUCUUCCACCGUCAUGUACUGAAGAGAGCACUUCAUUGAUGACCAUUGACUUGAAUGGUAAUCAAUUUGAAGUGCUUUGAGUACAUCACAGUGGAAGGCUUCCAUUGAAAUUAUUCUUUCUCAAGUCUAGCACCUAUAUAUAGCUCAGCCAUGCUACCCAAGCAAUGUGGAACUGACUCACUGAAGUUGUGUGAUAAAUCCAGAAGGUUAAGACUGCUUCCACAUGACUCACUGAAGUUGUGUGAUAAAUCCAGAAGGGUAAGACUGCUUAAGUUGCAAGGAAGUUAAAUUUAGGAUCAAGAUACUGUAGAUAGUAGUAAUGAAGUUGUUCUAGGUGGCUUGUAAGUGAAUCAUGUGAAAGUUUUAGGUAAAUCAACGAGUCUCACCUCUUAACUAUCAACCUAUUGUUCUACAGAACACCCUUCAAGUUGUUCUGUCUUGGCCCACAACAUGCAGUGUACCCAAUAUAGAGGCUAAUAAUGAUUCAAUACUCUCUUUAAUUCGUUUGGACUUGUAUGAUUAGGAAUGACAAUGGGACGUGGCAGAUUGAUUU
Molecule: RNA transcript, 2788 nt
Organism: Nicotiana tabacum (common tobacco)
Lineage: Eukaryota; Viridiplantae; Streptophyta; Magnoliopsida; Solanales; Solanaceae
Gene name: phosphoglucan phosphatase LSF2, chloroplastic
Source: RefSeq, a predicted model, not a curated record